This is a non-coding RNA of Emys orbicularis (European pond turtle), 1070 nucleotides long. NCBI's taxonomy places the organism in Eukaryota, Metazoa, Chordata, Testudines, Emydidae. The record is from the annotation of a RefSeq genome assembly.
ACCCAAUGGUUCCCUGUUUGCUCUUCAUUGUUGUCCUGACCCCUUUGGGAUGGGCCGUCCGUCAGCCCCCAGACAUGGUGGUCAUUCAGGGACAACGACUGACACUGAACUGCUCUCUAUCAACACCCCAAAUCAUGACCAUGUACUGGUACAAACAGGCCGUGGGGAAGGACGCAAGGCUGCAGCUGGUGGUGUUUUCUACAGAAGGCUCCGAUGCAAAUGUUGAGAAGCCAUUUCAAGGUCACUUCCAGAGCAGUGGGACAAAAAACUAUGUCCUGUCUCUGUCUACAGAGAGUGCCCAGGUGCAAGACUCAGGCACAUAUUACUGUGCUAAGCAAAAUCGUUCUUACAAUUCCCCGCUGAACUUCGGCCAAGGGACCCAAGUGACUGUCUUAGAGGAUGUGUCCAGCAUCACUCCCCCCGAAGUGGCCAUCUUUCCCCCAUCGAAGCAGGAGAUCAAAGAGAAGAGGAAGGCCACCCUGGUGUGCCUGGUCACAGGUUUCUACCCUGACCACAUCAACCUGUUUUGGUGGGUGAACGGUGUUGAGAGGAAAGAGGGGGUGAGGACGGAUGAAUCUCUUAUGUACAAAGAAAAAUACUCGCUGACCAGCCGCCUGAGGAUCUCACGCCAGGAAUGGUCCAACCCCAAGAACGUAUUCCAGUGCCGUGUUGAAUUCUAUGGGACUGAGAAACAAACAUAUGAUAAAGUCAUCAGUGGUGUAGCUGAUUGCAGUGUCUCAGAAGAGUCGUAUCUGAGAAGUGCCAUGGCAGGCAAGAGUGUGUACGUUCUGCUCAUUUUCAAGAGUGCCUUGUAUGGGGUCUUUGUGAUGGGGCUAAUGCUAAGGAACAAGCAAGUGCAGUAGAAGAAGCUGGCCCAAGGUGGAUGACACAACUUCCUGGAGAAAGAAGGAGCUGCAGCUGCAUUCGUUUUACAAGUCCUGAUUUUUUUCAGAAACCAGCACAGCACUUAAGCUUUUGUUACAAUAAAUGUACAAAGACAGCAAUUUGGGGUUGUCUGGCUGUAUUUGCUUGUUUGAAACAGCAGCUUUUAAUAAACAUUUAUGGAAUCC